Molecule: non-coding RNA, 925 nt
Filed under: Engystomops montubio
Lineage: Eukaryota; Metazoa; Chordata; Amphibia; Anura; Leptodactylidae
Description: partial 12S ribosomal RNA
Rfam family: Bacterial small subunit ribosomal RNA
Source: RNAcentral
GGUUUGGUCCUGACCUUGAAGUCAAUUACUUCUUAAUAUACACAUGCAAGUAUCCGCCCCCCUGUGAAAACGCCCUUAAAUCCCCUUUAGGGAUAAGGAGCUGGUAUCAGGCACGAAACUCUGCCCAAAACACCUAGCUAUGCCACACCCACAAGGGAAUUCAGCAGUGAUUAACAUUGAACAUAAGCGUCAGCUUGACUCAGUUAAAGAAGAGAGAGCCGGCAAAUCUGGUGCCAGCCGCCGCGGUUACACCACGUGACUCAAAUUGACCUCUAUCGGCGUAAAGCGUGAUUAAAGUUUAAAUAAAUUGAAGUUAAACUAAAAUUAAGCUGUGACACGCUUAUUUUAAGGAAAACCUAAUACGAAAGUUACUUUAACUAAAUCUACUUGAAUUCACGACAAUUAGGACACAAACUGGGAUUAGAUACCCCACUAUGCCUAAUCGUAAACCUUAAUUUACAUUUAUAUCGCCAGGGAACUACGAGCAAAGCUUAAAACCCAAAGGACUUGACGGUACCCCAAAUCCACCUAGAGGAGCCUGUCCUAUAACCGAUACCCCCCGUUUAACCUCACCAUUUUUAGCUUCUCAGCCUGUAUACCUCCGUCGUCAGCUUACCACGUGAGCGAACACUAGUGAGCCUAAUGCCCAUACACCAACACGUCAGGUCAAGGUGCAGCAUAUGAAAUGGAAAGAGAUGGGCUACACUUUCUAAUAUAGAACAUACGAAAGACUAUUUAUGAAAUCUAGUUUAAAGGCGGAUUUAGAAGUAAAAAAAAACAAGAGCGUUUUCUUUAACUAGGCACUGGGGUGUGUACACACCGCCCGUCACCCUCUUCAAAGCUUACUUACAGUAAUUAACCAAAAUUUGCUGGACAGAAGAGGCAAGUCGUAACAUGGUAAGUAUACCGGAAGGUGUGCUUGGAA